GAUCUCAAAUCAGGUAAGAAUACCCGCUGAACUUAAGCAUAUCAAUAAGCGGAGGAAAAGAAAAUAACAAUGAUUCCCUUAGUAACUGCGAGUGAAGAGGGACAAGCUCAAAUUUUAAAUCUGUUAGGUUCGCCUAACCGAAUUGUAAUUUGAAGAGGCGUUUUCUGCGUUUUUGAUCAGUCCAAGUCCUUUGGGAUAAGGCAUCAUGGAGGGUGAGAAUCCCGUUCGGGUUGAUCAAAUUUGCUUUAUGAUACGUCAUCUAAGAGUCAAGUUGUUUGGGAUUGCAGCUUAAAAUGGGGAGGUAAAUUUCUCCUAAGGCUAAAUAACGGCGAGAGACCGAUAGCGAACAAGUACCGUGAGGGAAAGAUGAAAAGAACUUUGAAAAGAGAGUCAAAUAGUACGUGAAAUUGUUGAAAGGGAAACGAUUGAAGUCAGUCGUACCGGCGGAUAAUCAGCCUUUCGAGUACGAUUCUGUGGAGUGUGAGGAGUUUAACCGCCUUCAUACCUGCAUAUUUGUGCGCUUUGGGUGUACUUGUCCGUAUGGUAGGUUAACAUCAAUUUUGGUCGUUAUAAAAUGGCUAGGGGAAUGUAGCUUUAAUCUCGUAUUGAAGUGUUAUAGCCUCUGGUAAAUGUAGUGACUAGGAUUGAGGAUUGCAACGGAUGCCUUUCGGGGCUACUCGUCUGAUCUCUGGAAGUUACUUUGGUGCUAAAAGCUUGCUUAUGGUUAUCGAAGUUGACGGUCAAUAGGUUAGAACGGGCUAAAUUCGUUAAGGAUGUUGACGUAAUGGCUUUAAACGACCCGUCUUGAAACACGGACCAAGGAGUCUAACAUAUAUGCGAGUGUUU
This 846-nucleotide ribosomal RNA is filed under the name uncultured Glomeraceae. Its description in RNAcentral is "eukaryotic LSU rRNA". It matches the Rfam family "Eukaryotic large subunit ribosomal RNA", at positions 1 to 695 of the family's 3401-position model. Lineage: Eukaryota; Fungi; Glomeromycota; Glomeromycetes; Glomerales; Glomeraceae. The record is from RNAcentral.